This is a long non-coding RNA of Homo sapiens (human), 627 nucleotides long. The transcript has 4 exons. The record is from RefSeq and is marked validated. Lineage: Eukaryota; Metazoa; Chordata; Mammalia; Primates; Hominidae.
CUAACUGCCCUUGGCCUGUUUCUAUGAAGCUCCCUGGUGAGAAGAGUUUGUCUUUUCCUUUGCACCCCGAAGCCCCUGCCUGGGCUAAAAACGUGCAGGAAUGCGGCAUUUGGAGAAAUUACACCUCUGAGCUGCCAGGAUAUAUUCAAACAGCCAAGAACAGAAGUUGGCCCAACUGGGACGCAUCCGUGGAGCAGCAAAUAUGCACACUCCUGGCAGUCAUGCAAGCAAGAUGGUCAACGUCAGAUACACAAGGCUGGCUUGAGCAGUGUUCACUGGGGAAAAUUCAUGGACAGGGGAGCAGAAACAGAAGAAAAACCACCCACCCCAAUGUCUUGCACACUGCAACAACUCUGUGAACACUGGUCAUUAUUCUACUGUUGUUAUUGGUGCUCUUUACUGGCCAAAGCUCAGUGGGAGGACUACUAUCUAACACAAGUGCCCUGCAGGACAGAAAGAACAAGAGUGCUAGAGCUUUUGUGCAUCUGGGCCAUUUUUUCAUUUGACAUAUGAAGAAUCUAAGAACCUGCAAGGUGGAAGUGACCUGUUCAAAUAGCAGCAAAGUCAAAAGCAGAUGUAGCUCUCUAUCUCUGAGCCUCUAAUAAAAUUAAUCUAAAUAGUUGUCAA